GCACCCGUAGCUCAACUGGAUAGAGUGUCGGAUUUCGAAUCCGAAGGUUGUAGGUUCGACCCCUUCCGGGUGUGC
RNAcentral lists this transfer RNA (75 nucleotides) under Hemiarma marina. RNAcentral describes it as "tRNA-Arg". It matches the Rfam family "tRNA". Rfam says of the family: Transfer RNA (tRNA) molecules are approximately 80 nucleotides in length. The record is from RNAcentral. Lineage: Eukaryota; Cryptophyceae; Goniomonadida; Goniomonadaceae.